GGGUCGUUAGCUCAGUCGGUAGAGCAGUUGACUUUUAAUCAAUUGGGCGGGCGUUCGAGUCGCCCACGACCCACCA
This 76-nucleotide transfer RNA is filed under the name Proteus mirabilis. RNAcentral describes it as "tRNA-Lys". It matches the Rfam family "tRNA". From Rfam's summary of the family: Transfer RNA (tRNA) molecules are approximately 80 nucleotides in length. Their secondary structure includes four short double-helical elements and three loops (D, anti-codon, and T loops). Lineage: Bacteria; Pseudomonadati; Pseudomonadota; Gammaproteobacteria; Enterobacterales; Morganellaceae. The record is from RNAcentral.